AGCCGAGAAAUCUUUUCUGGGCAAAGGUAAAUGUAUGCGUAAGCAUCACUUACCCACAUCUUACAUGUACCGUUGCUCAGAGACGGUCUCGCGCUAUCAUCG
This 102-nucleotide microRNA precursor is filed under the name Oikopleura dioica. RNAcentral's name for it is "microRNA odi-mir-1476 precursor". The record is from miRBase by way of RNAcentral. Lineage: Eukaryota; Metazoa; Chordata; Appendicularia; Copelata; Oikopleuridae.